GCGCCCUUAGCUCAGUUGGAUAGAGCGGCGGCCUUCUAAGCCGCAGGUCGGAGGUUCGAGUCCUCCAGGGCGCGCCA
This 77-nucleotide transfer RNA is filed under the name Alphaproteobacteria bacterium. RNAcentral describes it as "tRNA-Arg". It matches the Rfam family "tRNA". Rfam says of the family: Transfer RNA (tRNA) molecules are approximately 80 nucleotides in length. Their secondary structure includes four short double-helical elements and three loops (D, anti-codon, and T loops). The record is from RNAcentral. Lineage: Bacteria; Pseudomonadati; Pseudomonadota; Alphaproteobacteria. RNAcentral also lists the same sequence under 1 other name.